AGAGUUUGAUUCCUGGCUCAGGAUGAACGCCUGGCGGCGUGCCUAAUACAUGCAAGUCGAACGGAGAGCAGCAAUGCUCUGAGUGGCGAACGGGUGAGUAACACGUUGUUAACCUGCCCUGAAGCGAGGGAUAACAGGCCGAAAGGCUUGCUAAUACCGCAUAGGCAGUAGAGGAAUAGCAGCUUUACUGUAAAGGAUAUCGUUCGAAAGAGCGGAUCCGCUUUGGGAGGGGCCUGCGGCCCAUCAGCUAGUUGGUAAGGUAACGGCUUACCAAGGCGAUGACGGGUAGGGGACCUGAGAGGGUGAUCCCCCACAAUGGAACUGAAACACGGUCCAUACACCUACGGGUGGCAGCAGUAGGGAAUAUUGCAUAAUGGGCGAAAGCCUGAUGCAGCAACGCCGCGUGUGCGAUGAAGGCCUUCGGGUUGUAAAGCACUUUUAGCAGGGAAGAGGAAGGACGGUACCUGCUGAAUAAGCCUCGGCUAACUACGUGCCAGCAGCCGCGGUAAACCGUAGGAGGCGAGCGUUAUCCGGAUUUACUGGGUGUAAAGCGCGUGCAGGCGGUUGGCUAAGUUGGGUGUGAAAGCUCCUGGCUCAACUAGGAGAGGUCGCUCAAGACUGGCCGACUGGAGAGCAGUAGAGGAAGGUGGAAUUCCGGGUGUAGUGGUGAAAUGCGUAGAUAUCCGGAGGAACACCAGUGGCGAAAGCGGCCUUCUGGACUGCAUCUGACGCUCAGACGCGAAAGCUAGGGGAGCAAACGGGAUUAGAGACCCCGGUAGUCCUAGCUGUAAACGAUGUGAACUUGGCGCUGGAUGGGUAAAACCGAUCAGUGCCGAAGCAAACGCGAUAAGUUCACCACCUGAGGACUACGGCCGCAAGGUUAAAACUCAAAUGAAUUGACGG
RNAcentral lists this ribosomal RNA (903 nucleotides) under uncultured bacterium. Its description in RNAcentral is "bacterial SSU rRNA". It matches the Rfam family "Bacterial small subunit ribosomal RNA", at positions 8 to 916 of the family's 1533-position model. The record is from RNAcentral.